UCGACCUUUGCUCAGUUGGUAGAGCGGAGGACUAUAGAUCCUUAGGUCACUGGUUCGAAUCCGGUAGGUCGGA
This is a non-coding RNA of Brassica oleracea var. oleracea, 73 nucleotides long. The record is from the annotation of a RefSeq genome assembly. NCBI's taxonomy places the organism in Eukaryota, Viridiplantae, Streptophyta, Magnoliopsida, Brassicales, Brassicaceae.